GAGUUUGAUUCUGGCUCAGGACGAACGCUGGCGGCGUGCUUAACACAUGCAAGUCGAACGGAAAGGCCUGCUUUUGUGGGGUGCUCGAGUGGCGAACGGGUGAGUAACACGUGAGUAACCUGCCCUUGACUUUGGGAUAACUUCAGGAAACUGGGGCUAAUACCGGAUAGGAGCUCCUGCUGCAUGGUGGGGGUUGGAAAGUUUCGGCGGUUGGGGAUGGACUCGCGGCUUAUCAGCUUGUUGGUGGGGUAGUGGCUUACCAAGGCUUUGACGGGUAGCCGGCCUGAGAGGGUGACCGGCCACAUUGGGACUGAGAUACGGCCCAGACUCCUACGGGAGGCAGCAGUGGGGAAUAUUGCACAAUGGGCGGAAGCCUGAUGCAGCAACGCCGCGUGCGGGAUGACGGCCUUCGGGUUGUAAACCGCUUUCGCCUGUGACGAAGCGUGAGUGACGGUAAUGGGUAAAGAAGCACCGGCUAACUACGUGCCAGCAGCCGCGGUGAUACGUAGGGUGCGAGCGUUGUCCGGAUUUAUCGGGCGUAAAGGGCUCGUAGGUGGUUGAUCGCGUCGGAAGUGUAAUCUUGGGGCUUAACCCUGAGCGUGCUUUCGAUACGGGUUGACUUGAGGAAGGUAGGGGAGAAUGGAAUUCCUGGUGGAGCGGUGGAAUGCGCAGAUAUCAGGAGGAACACCAGUGGCGAAGGCGGUUCUCUGGGCCUUUCCUGACGCUGAGGAGCGAAAGCGUGGGGAGCGAACAGGAUUAGAUACCCUGGUAGUC
Molecule: ribosomal RNA, 774 nt
Filed under: uncultured Actinomycetes bacterium
Lineage: Bacteria; Bacillati; Actinomycetota; Actinomycetes
Description: bacterial SSU rRNA
Rfam family: Bacterial small subunit ribosomal RNA
Source: RNAcentral